CGACUUACCAAACCAUUGCAAACUCCGAAUACCGAGACGGACUGUAUGGGAGACACACGGCGGGUGCUAACGUCCGUCGUGAAAAGGGAAACAACCCAGACCCACAGCUAAGGUCCCAAAUUCACUGCUAAGUGGAAAACGAUGUGGAAAGGCAUAGACAGCCAGGAGGUUGGCUUAGAAGCAGCCACCCUUUAAAGAAAGCGUAAUAGCUCACUGGUCGAGUCGGUCUGCGCGGAAGAUUUAACGGGGCUAAGCAGUGAACCGAAGCUUGGGGUGCAUAAAACUUGUUUUAUGCGCGGUAGAGGAGCGUUCCGUAAGCCUGCGAAGGUGGAUUGAGAAGUCUGCUGGAGGUAUCGGAAGUGCGAAUGCUGACAUGAGUAACGAUAAUGCGGGUGAAAAGCCCGCACGCCGAAAGCCCAAGGUUUCCUUGCGCAACGUUAAUCGACGCAGGGUUAGUCGGUCCCUAAGGCGAGGGCGAAAGCCGUAGUCGAUGGGAAGCAGGUUAAUAUUCCUGCACCUCGCGUGAGUGCGAUGGAGGGACGGAGAAGGUUAGGUGUACCGGGCGUUGGUUGUCCCGGGGAAAGGCGGUAGGUUUGGAUCUUUGGCAAAUCCGGGAUCCUUUAAGACCGAGCACCGAGACGAGCCUUUUUGGCGAAGUCACUGAUACCACGCUUCCAGGAAAAGCUCCUAAGCUUCAGCUCACGAAGACCGUACCGUAAACCGACACAGGUGGGUAGGAUGAGAAUUCUCAGGCGCUUGAGAGAACUCGGGUGAAGGAACUAGGCAACAUGGCACCGUAACUUCGGGAGAAGGUGCACCCUUUUUGGUGGCUCGUGCGAGCUAUAGCUGAAGAGGGUCGCAGAAACCAGGCCGCUGCGACUGUUUAUCAAAAACACAGCACUCUGCAAACACGAAAGUGGACGUAUAGGGUGUGACGCCUGCCCGGUGCUGGAAGGUUAAUUGAUGGGGUCAGCCGCAAGGCGAAGCUCUUGAUCGAAGCCCCAGUAAACGGCGGCCGUAACUAUAACGGUCCUAAGGUAGCGAAAUUCCUUGUCGGGUAAGUUCCGACCUGCACGAAUGGCGUAACGACAGCGGCGCUGUCUCCACCCGAGACUCAGUGAAAUUGAAAUCGCUGUGAAGAUGCAGCGUUCCCGUGGCAAGACGGAAAGACCCCGUGAACCUUUACUAUAGCUUUACACUGAACGUUGAGUUCGUCUGUGUAGGAUAGGUGGGAGGCUAUGAAACUGUGGCGCUAGCUGCAGUGGAGCCAUCCUUGAAAUACCACCCUGUCGUGCUUGACGUUCUAACCUAGGUCCGUUAUCCGGAUCAGGGACCGUGUAUGGUGGGUAGUUUGACUGGGGCGGUCUCCUCCUAAAGAGUAACGGAGGAGCACGAAGGUACGCUCAGCGCGGUCGGACAUCGCGCACUGUGUGCAAAGGCAUAAGCGUGCUUGACUGCAAGAUCGACGGAUCAAGCAGGUACGAAAGUAGGUCUUAGUGAUCCGGUGGUUCUGUAUGGAAGGGCCAUCGCUCAACGGAUAAAAGGUACUCCGGGGAUAACAGGCUGAUACCGCCCAAGAGUUCAUAUCGACGGCGGUGUUUGGCACCUCGAUGUCGGCUCAUCACAUCCUGGGGCUGUAGUCGGUCCCAAGGGUAUGGCUGUUCGCCAUUUAAAGUGGUACGCGAGCUGGGUUCAGAACGUCGUGAGACAGUUCGGUCCCUAUCUGCCAUGGGCGUUGGAAGUUUGAGAGGGGCUGCUCCUAGUACGAGAGGACCGGAGUGGACGAACCUCUGGUGUUCCGGUUGUCACGCCAGUGGCAUUGCCGGGUAGCUAUGUUCGGAAGCGAUAACCGCUGAAAGCAUCUAAGCGGGAAGCGCGCCUCAAGAUGAGACUUCCCGGGCACAAGCCCCCUAAAGGAACCAUGUAGACUACGUGGUUGAUAGGUCAGGUGUGUAAGUACAGCAAUGUAUUGAGCUAACUGAUACUAAUGAUCCGUGCGGCUUGACC
Molecule: ribosomal RNA, 2007 nt
Filed under: Xanthomonas phaseoli pv. manihotis str. IBSBF 280
Lineage: Bacteria; Pseudomonadati; Pseudomonadota; Gammaproteobacteria; Lysobacterales; Lysobacteraceae
Description: bacterial LSU rRNA
Rfam family: Bacterial large subunit ribosomal RNA
Source: RNAcentral